GCUCAGGACGAACGCUGGCGGCGCGCCUAACACAUGCAAGUCGAACGAGCGAGAGAGAGCUUGCUUUCUCGAGCGAGUGGCGAACGGGUGAGUAACGCGUGAGGAACCUGCCUCAAAGAGGGGGACAACAGUUGGAAACGACUGCUAAUACCGCAUAAGCCCACGGGUCGGCAUCGACCAGAGGGAAAAGGAGCAAUCCGCUUUGAGAUGGCCUCGCGUCCGAUUAGCUAGUUGGUGAGGUAACGGCCCACCAAGGCAACGAUCGGUAGCCGGACUGAGAGGUUGAACGGCCACAUUGGGACUGAGACACGGCCCAGACUCCUACGGGAGGCAGCAGUA
Molecule: ribosomal RNA, 339 nt
Filed under: uncultured bacterium
Lineage: Bacteria
Description: bacterial SSU rRNA
Rfam family: Bacterial small subunit ribosomal RNA
Source: RNAcentral